Molecule: ribosomal RNA, 503 nt
Filed under: uncultured bacterium
Lineage: Bacteria
Description: partial 16S ribosomal RNA
Rfam family: Bacterial small subunit ribosomal RNA
Source: RNAcentral
AUUGAACGCUGGCGGCAGGCUUAACACAUGCAAGUCGAGCGGGGUGAUGGUGCUUGCACUAUCACUUAGCGGCGGACGGGUGAGUAAUGCUUAGGAAUCUGCCUAUUAGUGGGGGACAACAUCUCGAAAGGGAUGCUAAUACCGCAUACGUCCUACGGGAGAAAGCAGGGGAUCACUUGUGACCUUGCGCUAAUAGAUGAGACUAAGUCGGAUUAGCUAGUUGGUGGGGUAAAGGCCUACCAAGGCGACGAUCUGUAGCGGGUCUGAGAGGAUGAUCCGCCACACUGGGACUGAGCCACGGCCCAGACUCCUCCGGGAGGCAGCAGUGGGGAAUAUUGGACAAUGGGGGGAACCCUGAUCCAGCCAUGCCGCGUGUGUGAAGAAGGCCUUAUGGUUGUAAAGCACUUUAAGCGAGGAGGAGGCUCUUUUGGUUAAUACCCAAGAUGAGUGGACGUUACUCGCAGAAUAAGCACCGGCUAACUCUGUGCCAGCCGCCGCCGUAA